GCGGCAAUCUCGAUUCUCUCAACGAGAUGAGCAGCGAUACUCGCGACACUCUCGACGCAUCAUCCACCAUUCACGGUACCCCUCUCCUUCCUAGUUAGAUCGAGCAAGGAAGGGAAAGUGACUGCAAACACCAUCUGCCUCUCCCUCUAAUUCAUCAGAAGGAUCAACUCUUGGAGUCUCCUACCACCGACGGCUUGAAGACUACGAAUGUAAGUUCGAAAAAAUCAACCACUGACUCGUCCAGC
This 245-nucleotide long non-coding RNA is filed under the name Elaeis guineensis (African oil palm). Its description in RNAcentral is "long non-coding RNA (EGUI_LNC027244)". The record is from RNAcentral. Lineage: Eukaryota; Viridiplantae; Streptophyta; Magnoliopsida; Arecales; Arecaceae.